UAUAUAUAUAUAUUAUUAUAUUUUAAUAAUAUAAUAAUGGUGAUAUUUUUACAACGAAUGUGGGAUAUAUGAGUAUACGAGGAAGAAGAGUAUUUUUGUUGCAAUAAAUGUUUAAAACAUGUUAAACAUGUCGGUGGACCCCAUUUCUUGACUGAAAUUUGAUUAUAGCCUGUAAAAUCGCCCGUUUGUGGAUUUCGGUC
Molecule: long non-coding RNA, 200 nt
Filed under: Panax ginseng (ginseng)
Lineage: Eukaryota; Viridiplantae; Streptophyta; Magnoliopsida; Apiales; Araliaceae
Description: long non-coding RNA (PGIN_LNC006284)
Source: RNAcentral